AGCAGCCGCGGUAAUUCCAGCUCCAAUAGCGUAUAUUAAAGUUGUUGCAGUUAAAAAGCUCGUAGUUGAAUUUCGGGGUUCAUCCGUUGGUCGGGCUUUUUGGUCUGUACUGGCGUGAUGGAUUCCUACCUUCUGAAUAACCGGCAUGCCAUUAAUUUGGUGCGCCGGGGAAGCAGGACUGUUACCUUGAAAAAAUUAGAGUGCUUAAAGCAGGCUUAUGCCUGAAUACAUUAGCAUGGAAUAAUGAAAUAGGACGGCAUGGUUCUAUUUUGUUGGUUUCUAGGAUCACCGUAAUGAUUAAUAGGGAUAGUUGGGGGCAUUAGUAUUCAAUUGUCAGAGGUGAAAUUCUUGGAUUUAUUGAAGACUAACUUCUGCGAAAGCAUUUGCCAAGGAUGUUUUCAUUAAUCAAGAACGAAAGUUAGGGGAUCGAAGACGAUCAGAUACCGUCGUAGUCUUAACCAUAAACUAUGCCGACUAGGGAUCGGACGAUGUUAAUUUUUUAAUGACUCGUUCAGCGCCU
This 520-nucleotide ribosomal RNA is filed under the name uncultured Acaulospora. Its description in RNAcentral is "SSU rRNA". It matches the Rfam family "Eukaryotic small subunit ribosomal RNA", at positions 569 to 1088 of the family's 1831-position model. Lineage: Eukaryota; Fungi; Glomeromycota; Glomeromycetes; Diversisporales; Acaulosporaceae. The record is from RNAcentral.